This 253-nucleotide ribosomal RNA is filed under the name uncultured bacterium. RNAcentral describes it as "partial 16S ribosomal RNA". It matches the Rfam family "Bacterial small subunit ribosomal RNA", at positions 524 to 776 of the family's 1533-position model. The record is from RNAcentral.
GACAGAGGGUGCAAACGUUGCUCGGAAUUACUGGGCGUAAAGCGCGUGUAGGCUGACCGGAAAGUCGGGCGUGAAAUCCCUGAGCUCAACUCAGGAACUGCACUCGAAACUCUCGGUCUAGAGUGGUGGAGAGGGAAGUGGAAUUCCUGGUGUAGAGGUGAAAUUCGUAGAUAUCAGGAGGAACACCAGUGGCGAAGGCGGCUUCCUGGACACCAACUGACGCUGAGACGCGAAAGCUAGGGGAGCAAACGGG